AGCCGCGGUAAUUCCAGCUCCAAUAGCGUAUAUUAAAGUUGCUGCAGUUAAAAAGCUCGUAGUUGAAUUUCGGGACCAUCAUGUCGGUCGUGCCUCGGUACGUACUGGCAUUGUUGGUUUCUCCCUUCUGACGAACCAUGAUGUCAUUUAUUUGGUGUUGUGGGAAAUCAGGACUGUUACUUUGAAAAAAUUAGAGUGUUUAAAGCAGGCUCACGCUUGAAUACAUUAGCAUGGAAUAAUGAAAUAGGACGUUUGAUUCUAUUUUGUUGGUUUCUAGGAUCGACGUAAUGAUUAAUAGGGAUAGUUGGGGGCAUUAGUAUUCAAUUGUCAGAGGUGAAAUUCUUGGAUUUAUUGAAGACUAACUACUGCGAAAGCAUUUGCCAAGGAUGUUUUCAUUAAUCAAGAACGAAAGUUAGGGGAUCGAAGACGAUCAGAUACCGUCGUAGUCUUAACCAUAAACUAUGCCGACUAGGGAUCGGAUGAUGUUAAUUUUUUAAUGACUCAUUCGGCGCCUUACG
This 518-nucleotide unclassified non-coding RNA is filed under the name uncultured Glomeromycotina. RNAcentral describes it as "SSU rRNA". It matches the Rfam family "Eukaryotic small subunit ribosomal RNA", at positions 572 to 1092 of the family's 1831-position model. Lineage: Eukaryota; Fungi; Glomeromycota. The record is from RNAcentral.